UCAGGCUCUCCUCCUACACCAGAUGCUUGAGUGUCUUCACCAUCUCUGGGGCCUGCUCCAGGACCUUCUCCAGUGUGCCCAUGUGCCCUUUGUACUGAGGAGCCCAGAACUGGACACCGCAUCCCCAAAGAGGUCUCAACAUUGACGAAUAGAAGGAUCAGAGGAUUUGAAUAAAGCUUCUAAACCAGCACCCAUGUGAGAUGUUAAAACAAAGAAGAAAGCAGAAAAAUAUUAACAACAAAUGUUACAUUCUCUUUGGAUAACAGGAAAGGCCACAAACAGAACACGUACUCCAAUUCACCAGGUUGUGUUCACAUUCCUGAAAUUAUCCUUCCUUUGGAAAACUUUGAUGCUGCCACGUUGGCUGUGAUACUUCAUUAAUAAACCUCAAACACUUGUCUGCGUGUUGAACAGCUGCUACAAGACCCUACAGCCUUUAUAGGGUGUAUCUAAUCCUUAUGAACACAGGCAGUCUCCUUAAAAAUGCACAGUUGAGGACUCCUUGAAAGAAGAGUUUGGAGGAGCAGCCCCUCCCACUUCUUUAUUAACAGCUCGUCACAUCUGGGUGGCGUCUCUCAUGAUCCACAUUCGCGCACCCUGCGCUCUCCAGGGAGCAGCAGGAGGAGGAAGCACGGCAUCACGGCCGGCCGUGCUGGAGGUUUGGAUCGUUCUGGCGGCGGCAGGAGCUGGGGCUGGAGCAUCCAAACAUCCUCUUCUCCCGCACAGCCGCGGUUUUCCUCCGGGGAGGGUCCGCGAACGCGGAGCACCCGGCUGGGGGCCCGCUCUUGGCCUUGGGUUUCUUUGAUUCUUAAAAAAAAAAAAAAAAAAAAAAAGGACCAAAACACCACCUCUCUUCUCCAA
This is a long non-coding RNA of Hirundo rustica (Barn swallow), 861 nucleotides long. RefSeq lists it as uncharacterized. NCBI's taxonomy places the organism in Eukaryota, Metazoa, Chordata, Aves, Passeriformes, Hirundinidae. The transcript has 4 exons. The record is from RefSeq and is a predicted model, not a curated record.